This is a small nuclear RNA of Jaculus jaculus (lesser Egyptian jerboa), 107 nucleotides long. The record is from Ensembl. Lineage: Eukaryota; Metazoa; Chordata; Mammalia; Rodentia; Dipodidae.
GUUUUUGCCUUGACAACAUAAACACGAAAGUUGGAAUUAUACAGAGAAGAUGAUCAUGGUCCCUGGGCAGGGAUAACACACAAAUUUUUGUAGCCUUUCAUGUUUUC